CGUGAGUAACCUGCCCCUUACUCUGGGAUAACUCCGGGAAACCGGUGCUAAUACUGGAUACGACCCGAGCGGGCAUCCGCAUCGGGUGGAAAGUUUUUCGGUUUGGGAUGGACUCGCGGCCUAUCAGCUUGUUGGUGGGGUAAUGGCCCACCAAGGCGACGACGGGUAGCCGGCCUGAGAGGGCGACCGGCCACACUGGGACUGAGACACGGCCCAGACUCCUACGGGAGGCAGCAGUGGGGAAUAUUGCACAAUGGGCGAAAGCCUGAUGCAGCGACGCCGCGUGAGGGAUGACGGCCUUCGGGUUGUAAACCUCUUUCAGCAGGGAAGAAGCUUUUGUGACGGUACCUGCAGAAGAAGCACCGGCUAACUACGUGCCAGCAGCCGCGGUAAUACGUAGGGUGCGAGCGUUGUUAAUACGACUCACUAUAGGGCGAAUUGAAUUUAGCGGCCGCGAAUUCGCCCUUGACUACUGGGGUAUCUAAUCCCAUUAUCACGCGUUACUCACCCGUCCGGGACUACUGGGGUGUCUAAUCCUAUUCACGCGUUACUCACCCGCCCGUCUGACUACUGGGGUAUCUAAUCCCAUUAGUCUCACGCGUUACUCACCCGUCCGUGACUACUGGGGUAUCUAAUCCCAUUAUCACGCGUUACUCACCCGUCCG
RNAcentral lists this ribosomal RNA (665 nucleotides) under uncultured Ornithinicoccus sp. Its description in RNAcentral is "bacterial SSU rRNA". The stretch from base 1 to 415 matches the Rfam family "Bacterial small subunit ribosomal RNA", at positions 116 to 545 of the family's 1533-position model. Lineage: Bacteria; Bacillati; Actinomycetota; Actinomycetes; Micrococcales; Intrasporangiaceae. The record is from RNAcentral.